Molecule: long non-coding RNA, 206 nt
Filed under: Lathyrus oleraceus (garden pea)
Lineage: Eukaryota; Viridiplantae; Streptophyta; Magnoliopsida; Fabales; Fabaceae
Description: Pisum sativum (pea) long non-coding RNA (PSAT_LNC039787)
Source: RNAcentral
GGAAAUCAUCGAGAGAAAGAAAAAAAAAGAGAAAAAAUUUAUAACUCGAAGAUUCAAAAAGAAGCACGAAAAAGGGCAUUUGGUGGAAAAAAAGAAAAAAGAAAACCGAGCAAGCAAAAGAAACAAACACAGUAUGUAACAUCGACUCUGAACCAAAAACCCACUUGUUUCCCAUUUUUUUUAAAUAAUCCAUACCCUAACCCAAG